AACGAACGCUGGCGGCAUGCCUAACACAUGCAAGUCGAACGAGACCUUCGGGUCUAGUGGCGCACGGGUGCGUAACGCGUGGGAACCUGCCUUUAGGUUCGGAAUAACUCAGAGAAAUUUGAGCUAAUACCGGAUAAUGUCUUCGGACCAAAGAUUUAUCGCCUUUAGAUGGGCCCGCGUUGGAUUAGCUAGUUGGUGGGGUAAAGGCCUACCAAGGCGACGAUCCAUAGCUGGUCUGAGAGGAUGAUCAGCCACACUGGGACUGAGACACGGCCCAGACUCCUACGGGAGGCAGCAGUGGGGAAUAUUGGACAAUGGGCGAAAGCCUGAUCCAGCAAUGCCGCGUGAAGUGAUGAAGGCCUUAGGGUUGUUAAAGCUCUUUUACCCGAGAUGAUAAUGACAGUAUC
This 407-nucleotide ribosomal RNA is filed under the name uncultured bacterium. RNAcentral's name for it is "bacterial SSU rRNA". It matches the Rfam family "Bacterial small subunit ribosomal RNA", at positions 29 to 479 of the family's 1533-position model. The record is from RNAcentral.